RNAcentral lists this long non-coding RNA (2001 nucleotides) under Ananas comosus (pineapple). RNAcentral describes it as "long non-coding RNA (ACOM_LNC021423)". The record is from RNAcentral. Lineage: Eukaryota; Viridiplantae; Streptophyta; Magnoliopsida; Poales; Bromeliaceae.
AUCCCUCGGCACAGACGCCGCCGCUGCCUGUUGCGCCAUCAUCUCAUGGAGCUGCCCGAUCUGCUCCCCCUGAAGCCGCAUAGCCCAGGCCAAAGCCGCUACUUGGGCUCGCAGCUCACGCACGCCGUCCGACCCCGACUGCUCGGGCUCCUCCCGAGGCUCCGCCGGUGUGGACCUUGUAACUCUCCUUGGUGGUGCCAUCGCGUCCUGAAACGCAACACACACACAAACAUUAGUGCUCGAUGCACGUGACCCUUAUGCGUGUCACCUAACUACCCAAUUAAGCGAAAGCACAAGCCUAAUUAUUCCUACUCUCGGUGUUGUGUGGUCGGCCGCCCCACAAAGUCCCUUAAGUAGACAACAACUAAGCCUUAUAAUCCAUCUCUACUUCCUUCUAGAGAAGUGUUACAGUUAACCCAAUCACUCGCUUUCGCAUAACCCAAGUCCACGUCAAAUGUUUUCCUAAAUCCUACCAAACCUAUGGUUCCUAGGUCAUUCCUAGACUUUUGCUUUCAACUUCGCUCUGAUACCAUUAUAUCUGUCACGCCCCAAUCCCUGCCAAUUUGGGUCGGGUUCGGGUCACGUCAACAGACGCCGAACGGACAGAGUCUCCCCUGUCCGCCCAAGGCUUUAACAAUACAUAUAAUUAGGCAAUUAACAAGAGAAUUGCAAAUAUAAUACAAGGCUUGCACGAGGGCAAGCGACAACGGAAGCGAAAGCUCUAAGCUAAAUAUAGAUUACACAUGAUAUUUGAUUUCAUUUAAACCAAAUUCAAGUAAACAAAGCUAAUGUAAAACUAUUACAUUCCAUUCAACCAUCAUAUCUUUUUACAUUUAGUCAUCCACCAAAUACAUGAUUGGUUUCACUUUACAUACCUAAAUCAACAAAAUAAAGUUGAUACAUGUAUAACAAAAGGGAAUGACUACAAAAUGCAUAAAGUCCCCGGUGGCCGCUACCUACGGCGCCAAACCCUUGCCUCGGUCCUCCGCCGCCCCGCUCGUGCUAGGACCUGUAGGGUUAGUGGUGUGAGAACUACAACGAAGUUCCCAGUGGGCUCGGCAUCCGACCUCGCCGACUUACCCACUAGGUCUAUCCAGGCAUAAGUAUUUCAAAGGAAGAAAGGUAACCAUUACUAAUGCAACUAAUACUAUGCCUGCAAGAAAGAGACAAUAGAUAUACAAUUUCAAUGCGAAAAUGGAAAUGCAUGCAUGCUCCAAUCAUAAUCAAACUUUGGCUCUUACCCAAUCUUACCGGUUAACUCUGUUAACCCCAAUAACUCACAACCCAAAAUCCCUUAAUAACGGGGGACUCGAACCUCCCUAGGGACCGUCAACUGGUGGGACUUUACCACGCCCAGUGGUGACCAACUCCGGAGCGCACCGCUCGAGGGGGAGCGACCUCCCUCGAGCCAAGACGAAAGGUGAGUGUCGAUCUAAUCCUCAAUUUGAGGAUCCAUAGCCACUAGUCACAAUGCCAAUAUCACGAUAGGUCUCUACCUAUUUAUUUUUGCCACUUUCGAGACCUUAUCUUCGACCAUGUCCCUAUGGGUUAAACUAUUUCCAAUGGUCAUCUCUCAAUGCAAUUCUUGUUUCUAUGUCAAUGACACCCUUGUUUUCUAAUGUCCAAGUCCAUACUUAUGUUCACACAUCUCGAGGGCCCAAUCACACAUGUCCGUUUUGGUUCUAUCAUUCUUCUACGUUCAACUACUUUAGAAGCAUAAAAAUGAAAUCAAACCAAGUUCCACAUGUAGCUACCCUACUAUGCAUGAAUGGGUAUAUAUAUAUAUAUAUGCUCAAAAAUAGGGAAAUAGACAUAGAGGGGAAUCCAACGAUUCCGGCGUGCACCCCCCACCUCUGUGAGUCGUGUGGGUGUAGAAUAUUAAGGCCCCCGCACUUUACGAAAGCCGAUUCCGCGCCCUAUAAUCAAAUAGUGCCAUAUUAGGCCUUUUUGUACAUGAACUAUACUCUAACAUUUUCGAAAUAUUAAACGAAGUUGUCCGAC